GGGGAGAAAUGACGUAUGACUCUAUAACCAUGUGUGAACGUACCUAUCUUGUAGUGAGAUGAAUGCUGUUUUGGUGGUAGGGCCCUUCUGAAGAGAGGGCACCGCUGCCAGCAGUAUAGUCUCACCACUAUAAAACUCUUUUAUUAUUUUCUAGAUUUUUCAUUGCUGAGUGGCAUAACUAUAAAAAAGUUAAAACUUUCAACAACGGAUCUCUUGGCUCUAGCAUCGAUGAAGAACGCAGCGAAAUGCGAUAAGUAAUGUGAAUUGCAGAAUUCAGUGAAUCAUCGAAUCUUUGAACGCACAUUGCGCCUGGCAGUAUUCUGCCAGGCAUGCCUGUCCGAGCGUCAUUUUGGAGGUCCUGUUCUCCCCUGAACAGGCCGCCGAAAUGUAUCGGCUGUUAUACUUGCCAACUCCCCUGUGUAAUAUAAAAUUUCUAAAUUUUCACACUUUCAAAUACUGGUGUGAACCACCACAAAACCCGCACUACUUUUGUAGAAAAGUUCUCAAGGUGGAGGUCUU
This 519-nucleotide unclassified non-coding RNA is filed under the name Ceratocystis manginecans. RNAcentral's name for it is "partial contains ITS1, 5.8S rRNA and ITS2". The stretch from base 194 to 347 matches the Rfam family "5.8S ribosomal RNA". Lineage: Eukaryota; Fungi; Ascomycota; Sordariomycetes; Microascales; Ceratocystidaceae. The record is from RNAcentral.